Molecule: long non-coding RNA, 1092 nt
Organism: Vigna unguiculata (cowpea)
Lineage: Eukaryota; Viridiplantae; Streptophyta; Magnoliopsida; Fabales; Fabaceae
Source: RefSeq, a predicted model, not a curated record
GGAAACGCUAUUCACGUUCACACACAUAUAACUCACCUCUCACAUACCACACUAAACCCUCACCUGACGCACUGCUCACACCACUCAUGCACUUCACAAUUCACUCUCACACACACACGAAGGUCUCACUUACGCCAGCUGCACGAAGGGAUGUGGAAUGGACGUUUCAACUUUCAAGAUACUUGAAACGCACACGUGAACAUAACAGGGGAAACAAAGGAAAACCCCGGGUCUUUUUCUCCAGAUUUUUCUGGUGGCUUCCAAGGUUUUCUCUAUAUAUUUUCUAGUAGCUUCUAAGGAUUCAUAUCGCCAAGGUUCGCGCCACUCUCUAUUGGAAUCGUCGUCGCGGCACAUCCCUGGAGUUUGGAGUUUGAGUUCAGGCCUCUCGUUGAUGGUACAGGAGAGUGUGUUGUUGUAGGAAUCAUGACAAGUUCAUCAAAUGCACCUACUCCAAACAAAGACCCUAUGUGGUCCUUUAUGGAACAAUUCAGAAAAGAUAGGGAGCAAAGAAAGAUUAUAGGAGCUCGUUAAUACUUGCACGGUUACGAGAGUGCAUUUGGCCCUCUAAACGAAAAAGAGGACUACAAAUCAGUUCGUGACAAAGAUGGUCAUGGAACACACACAGCUUCAAUAGUUGCAUCUGGUGUACAACUGUAAUCGUAUUUUUUAUUACCUGAGCUCUUCCCUGCUUCUUUGCCUUGUUUAGAUCAGCUAUUGAAAAGUGAUACAUUCUCUUAUUUUUUUUAUACUACCUCAUGAUAUUGUUGUCAAAAACAUUAUGUCAUGGUAAUUAUAUUAGUUUAUUUAUAGAAAAUUCUAAAUUUGAUAUUAUCUUUUGAUUAGUGCUUCAGUGUUUGGUUAAUCAAAGAAUUAAAGAUAUCUUUUUGAUAAUAUGAAAAUGAUGACAUUGGACGUUUGUUGGUUGUUUGUCCCUUGAUUCUGUUGUCAAUAAGGUUAUUCUUAUCAAUUCCAGUGGAGUUUGCAGAGUUACCAAUAAGUUUUUGUGAUUGCAUUUGAUCAUUCAUUUCCUGCUUGCAGAUGUGCUAGACUAUCAGUAUCAUGACUUUGAUAUUUUUUUUUUAUUUGCAAGAA